Micropterus dolomieu (smallmouth bass) is the source of this 1568-nucleotide long non-coding RNA. RefSeq lists it as uncharacterized. The record is from RefSeq and is a predicted model, not a curated record. The transcript is spliced from 3 exons. Lineage: Eukaryota; Metazoa; Chordata; Actinopteri; Centrarchiformes; Centrarchidae.
GUGUUUCUCGCUCUGGAGUCUGGAUCUGUGGCUGCGAGUCACCUGCUCACCUACACAACAUCCACUACUAUAAUUAUUACUAGUUCUAUUAUUAUCAUUAAUAUUACUAUAAUUAUCAGUACCAUUAUUUGAUUCUGUACCAACACUACUUUAACUGUUUGUAUUUUCUGUGUGGACACUGUGGACAUCAAAUGGACACAGAUCCCAUCCCAAAGGAUGCUCUGACAUGGAGUCCUCCAGGCAAUAUGGCCCGAAGCAGAACUGUGAUGGAGAAGGGAAUGAAGUGGAUUAAACAAAUAGUUUCACAUUUAGGGAAAUGGGCUUAUUUGCUUUUUGGUAAAGAGUUCGAUGAGAAGAUUAAUACCACACUCAGCCAGCAGCCAGUUAGCUUAGCUUAGCUCAAAGACUCAAAAGUCAAAAACUUCGGUAUGGCUUGACGUAAGGAGCAGCUUGGCCUCUUUGAUCACUCUGGACCCUCAGGGCCACUCAGCUGCUCCUGCUGCAGCCCAUCAGUCUGAGAGAAGACGUGAUGCAGAGGGGAUUUUCAUCCAUCUUUCUGUCUCUCUGUUUGUAUGUGUUGCCGUCGCCACCCUCAUCACCAUAGAGACGUACACGAGAGGGUCUAAGGGAGAGUGAGCUGCAUUGAUGAGCUCAAGACUCAUCGACUGAAUAAAGAGGAGGGCGUGUGUAUGUUCAUAGAGUUCCUAAAGGUCCUUCCAAAGUUCUUUAAAUGGAUGGAGGUCUUUGAAAGAUUCACAUGGUCCUUGAAGGGGUUCCAGUGAUCCUUUGAGAGUUUCCAGUGGUCAUUGAAAGGAUUAUACAGGUCUCUGGAGAUCUUCCUAGGACCCAUUGACAGUGUUCCAGUGGGACUUGAAGAUGAAAUCCACAUGAAACACUAACAAGAAGUUGUCUCAAAGUGUAGACGCCCAUCCAUCCAUUGUUGGCUGGAGCCAAUCCCAGCUGACAUCGGGCGAAAGGCGGGGUACACCCUGGACACGUCUUCAGUCCAUCGCAGGGCCACACAUAUACAAAGACCCAUUCACACUCACAUUCACACCUAAGCACAACUUCAGAGUCACCAAUUAACCUGGCCUGCAUGUCUCUGGAUGGUGGGAAGAAGCCGGACGACCCGGAGAGAACCCACGCAGACACGGGGAGAACAUGCAAACUCCACACAGAAAGGCCGGGUACUACCAUUUUACUUUAACUGAGCGAAUUAGAAGUUUCCAGAGUUUUUUUGUACUGCUUGGAACUGAACUUUGGAAUUGGAAUAAAUGAGCCAGAGGUGUUUGUAAAAACAGAUGUUGUCUUUGCAGUAGUUGACAAAACCUCAUGUCACUCAAUCUCACCACAUGAUUUUUAUUUUAUACCUGCUCUAGAGCUUUCAGUCGUUGAAUGAUCUCCUCAGGAGAACGACGCUGCGCUUUAAUGACUGUUUAAUGAUGAAUGUUAAAAGUUAAGAUUAAAAGUUCACUAUGACCUUGGAAACAUUUUAUUUUUGAUUUUAAAAUGUUUAUGGCAAGUCAUGCAUGUAAAAUGAGUAAGAAUUAACAUUAUACAGAUUUAAA